CAGUAGCCGCGGUAAUACGGAGGGUGCAAGCGUUAAUCGGAAUUACUGGGCGUAAAGCGCACGCAGGCGGUUUGUUAAGUCAGAUGUGAAAUCCCCGAGCUUAACUUGGGAACUGCAUUUGAAACUGGCAAGCUAGAGUCUUGUAGAGGGGGGUAGAAUUCCAGGUGUAGCGGUGAAAUGCGUAGAGAUCUGGAGGAAUACCGGGGGCGAAGGCGGCCCCCUGGACAAAGACUGACGCUCAGGUGCGAAAGCGUGGGGAGCAAACAGGAUUAGAUACCCGGGUAGUCCCUGUCUCUUAUAC
RNAcentral lists this ribosomal RNA (301 nucleotides) under uncultured bacterium. Its description in RNAcentral is "partial 16S ribosomal RNA". It matches the Rfam family "Bacterial small subunit ribosomal RNA", at positions 509 to 807 of the family's 1533-position model. The record is from RNAcentral.